This 444-nucleotide ribosomal RNA is filed under the name uncultured bacterium. RNAcentral describes it as "bacterial SSU rRNA". It matches the Rfam family "Bacterial small subunit ribosomal RNA", at positions 354 to 796 of the family's 1533-position model. The record is from RNAcentral.
GUAGGGAAUAUUGGACAAUGGGUGAGAGCCUGAUCCAGCCAUGCCGCGUGCAGGAAGAAGGCGUUAUGCGUUGUAAACUGCUUUUGCCAGGGGAUAAAAUGACCGUGCGCGGUUAAUUGAAGGUACCUGGUGAAUAAGCCACGGCUAACUACGUGCCAGCAGCCGCGGUAAUACGUAGGUGGCAAGCGUUGUCCGGAUUUAUUGGGUUUAAAGGGUGCGUAGGUGGCUAACUAAGUCAGUGGUGAAAUAUCUCAGCUUAACUGAGAGGGUGCCAUUGAUACUGGAUAGCUUGAGUACAGAUGAGGUAGGCGGAAUUGACGGUGUAGCGGUGAAAUGCAUAGAUAUCGUCAAGAACACCGAUAGCGAAGGCAGCUUACCAAGCUGUAACUGACACUGAGGCACGAAAGUGUGGGGAUCAAACAGGAUUAGAUACCCGGGUAGUCC